Molecule: ribosomal RNA, 316 nt
Filed under: uncultured fungus
Lineage: Eukaryota; Fungi
Description: eukaryotic LSU rRNA
Source: RNAcentral
AACGCACCUUGCACCCUGGGGUAUUCCCUAGGGUAUGCCUGUCUGAGUGUUAUUUGACCUCUCAAAGUUCCUUUCCUCUAACCGGGUCGGGAUGCUUUGGAUCAUGGGUGUUUGCGAGCCUUGGCUUGCUCACCUCAAAUAGAAUGUGGCAUUCUUCUCUGAAGCUGCUGCUGGGCUUGACCUGGAGUGAUAGAAGUCUUUCGAGAUCUCUGGGGAACUGUCUUUUGACGGUGCCUGCUGUAGUGGGAGGGAGUGUCUAACAGACUCAUCUGACGUUUUUGACCUCAGAUCAGGCAGGACUACCCGCUGAACUUAA